UGCGCCUUGCCACGCCGCUCAGAAACUUAAAGGAAUUGACGGGGACCCGCACAAGCGGUGGAUGAUGUGGAUUAAUUCGAUGCAACGCGAAAAACCUUACCUACCCUUGACAUGUACGGAACCUUGAGAGAUCAGAGGGUGCUCGAAAGAGAGCCGUAACACAGGUGCUGCAUGGCUGUCGUCAGCUCGUGUCGUGAGAUGUUGGGUUAAGUCCCGCAACGAGCGCAACCCUUGUCAUUAGUUGCUACGAAAGGGCACUCUAAUGAGACUGCCGGUGACAAACCGGAGGAAGGUGGGGAUGACGUCAAGUCCUCAUGGCCCUUAUGGGUAGGGCUUCACACGUCAUACAAUGGUCGGUACAGAGGGUAGCCAACCCGCGAGGGGGAGCCAAUCCCAGAAAACCGAUCGUAGUCCGGAUCGCAGUCUGCAACUCGACUGCGUGAAGUCGGAAUCGCUAGUAAUCGCGGAUCAGCAUGUCGCGGUGAAUACGUUCCCGGGUCUU
Molecule: ribosomal RNA, 502 nt
Filed under: uncultured Achromobacter sp.
Lineage: Bacteria; Pseudomonadati; Pseudomonadota; Betaproteobacteria; Burkholderiales; Alcaligenaceae
Description: bacterial SSU rRNA
Rfam family: Bacterial small subunit ribosomal RNA
Source: RNAcentral